RNAcentral lists this ribosomal RNA (254 nucleotides) under uncultured bacterium. RNAcentral describes it as "partial 16S ribosomal RNA". It matches the Rfam family "Bacterial small subunit ribosomal RNA", at positions 524 to 776 of the family's 1533-position model. The record is from RNAcentral.
UACGUAGGGUGCGAGCGUUGUCCGGAAUUAUUGGGCGUAAAGGGCUCGUAGGCGGUUUGUCGCGUCGGGAGUGAAAUCCACUGGCUUAACUGGUGGCUUGCUUUCGAUACGGGCAGACUGGAGGUAUGCAGGGGAGAACGGAAUUCCUGGUGUAGCGGUGAAAUGCGCAGAUAUCAGGAGGAACACCGGUGGCGAAGGCGAGUCUCUGGACGACUCCUGACACUGAGGCACGGAAAGCUAGGGGAGCAAACAGG